AUACUUACUUGGCAGGGGAGGUACCAUGAUCACGAAGGUGCUUUUCCCAGUCAAGGUUUAUCCACUGCCCUCCGGAUGUGCUGACCCCGCGAUUUCCCCACAUGUGGGAAACUGUACUGCGUAAUUGGUGGUAGUGGGGGACUGUGCUCACGCGCACCCCUG
RNAcentral lists this small nuclear RNA (162 nucleotides) under Dasypus novemcinctus (nine-banded armadillo). RNAcentral describes it as "U1 spliceosomal RNA (ENSDNOG00000027111.2)". It matches the Rfam family "U1 spliceosomal RNA". From Rfam's summary of the family: U1 is a small nuclear RNA (snRNA) component of the spliceosome (involved in pre-mRNA splicing). Its 5' end forms complementary base pairs with the 5' splice junction, thus defining the 5' donor site of an intron. Lineage: Eukaryota; Metazoa; Chordata; Mammalia; Cingulata; Dasypodidae. The record is from RNAcentral.